This is a long non-coding RNA of Oreochromis niloticus (Nile tilapia), 1220 nucleotides long. RefSeq lists it as uncharacterized. The transcript is spliced from 2 exons. NCBI's taxonomy places the organism in Eukaryota, Metazoa, Chordata, Actinopteri, Cichliformes, Cichlidae. The record is from RefSeq and is a predicted model, not a curated record.
ACAGUCUGGUUAAAUUAAUUUUAGAGAUUUUGCACCUGAUGUGGCUGAAAUAUUUAACACCUCCCCCACCAUUGUCACUUUCAGAAUCGGGCCCACAAAUACUUGAGGUAGAUUAGACAAGACUCAAACCUAAACAGCUCAUUUCAAUGGCCACUGGCUACCGUGAGAGCAAUUUAUGGCUAGAUUGGCUCAUCCAAAAUGCUAGAGAACAGAAUGUUUAAGAUUGUGUGGCGUGCGCAGCUGCCCGCCCACAUCUUUUCACAGAACCAGCUCCUUUAUAUCCCGAAGACCAGUGGGGAUUUGAGUGCAUGCUCAGACUCACCAGAGAAGCGGCUUCUGAAGACAUGAGCAUGAGGCCGGGGAGAUUGAUGCCGAUUGGUGGACUGUGACGUACCUGGCCAGAGGAAAGGGAUCAAAAGACACCGGCACCGAAAUAGGCCUGUGGGCACGUGCUGGUUUGUAGUAUUAUUAUGGUGGGUAUAGAUUGUAUGUUAGAAUUCCUAGUGGGACUUCUGGUCUCUGUGCCAUGGUACGUAUAGGUGCACCUCUCGUUUUAGUAGGAGAAAAGGGGGUGCGGCUGGCUAAGCCCGGCACCGCUCAACUGACAGCCACAUGCAGACGUCAUGUGUUGGCCAAACAGUCACCAGGAUCAUUUGACCUUACAAUAGGAUCACCAACAUACAGAGAUGCUAUUGGGGUUCCUAGGGGUGUGCCUAAAUGAAUUUAAGGUAGCCGACCAAAUUGCUGGAGGAUUUGAAAUUGUCCAAUGAUUUCUGCAUUCUUUCCAGUAACUCCAAAUAAGAAGGUGGAUCGUAUUAAUUAUGUGCAUUAUAAUGUCCUGAGACUGGCGAACUUUACCAGGGACGCAGUUGAAGGACUUGCUGAAUAGUUGGGUCCAACAUCUUUAAUGGCAGUACAAAUUUAAAAUAAUGUACUUUUAUUUUAAAUAACACAGCUCCAGGCAGCUCUGUGAGCUGAACUCUGGAAGGCCUAAGGACGUUGUCCACCACAAUGUAUGAGCAUUCGGGAGUGGAUAACCUGCUGGAAGUGUGGAGGAUAUCUGUCUUUGGGCAAUGGAAAGGUUUCCUUAUGUCAAUUAUGGUUUCUUUGUCUGUUUUUAUUGCAAUAUUAGUGACAUGUGGGUGUUGUUGUGUGCCUUGUAUCAGAGCUUUGUUCGUAAGACUCAUCAAUCGUGCUGUGGGAGAAUCUGAUACAAAGUC